CCCAGACUCCUACGGGAGGCAGCAGUGAGGAAUAUUGGUCAAUGGGCUUACGCCUGAACCAGCCAAGCCGCGUGAGGGAAGACGGCCCUAUGGGUUGUAAACCUCUUUUGUCGGAGAACAAAACCCGGGACGAGUCCCGGACUGCGUGUAUCCGAAGAAAAAGCAUCGGCUAACUCCGUGCCAGCAGCCGCGGUAAUACGGAGGAUGCGAGCGUUAUCCGGAUUUAUUGGGUUUAAAGGGAGCGUAGAUGGGUUGUUAAGUCAGUUGUGAAAGUUUGCGGCUCAACCGUAAAAUUGCAAUUGAUACUGGCAGUCUUGAGUACAGUUGAGGUAGGCGGAAUUCGUGGUGUAGCGGUGAAAUGCUUAGAUAUCACGAAGAACCCCGAUUGCGAAGGCAGCUUACUAAACUGUGACUGACAUUGAUGCUCGAAAGUGUGGGUAUCAAACAGGAUUAGAUACCCGAGUA
Molecule: ribosomal RNA, 465 nt
Filed under: uncultured bacterium
Lineage: Bacteria
Description: partial 16S ribosomal RNA
Rfam family: Bacterial small subunit ribosomal RNA
Source: RNAcentral